GAGGAAUGUAUAGCAAUAGCUACUUGCAUCAUUGUAAAUAUGAUGCAAGAUCGACUAUGUCGAAUAAAAUUCUAGGUAGAAUUAUGAUAAUGACAUUGUCUGCCUAUGUGUCUUGACCAAAUUACGUGCCAGCAGUCGCGGUAAUACGUAGAAGACUAGUGUUAUUCAUGUUUAAUCGGUUUAAAGGGUACCUAGACGGUAAAUCAAGCCUAAAAGGAAAUAAAUGAAGGGACUAAUUUACUAGAGUUACUUAUGAGGGGGUAUUAAAGUACUGCUGGUGUAGAGAUGAAAUUCUGUCAUACCUCUUUUCAAUAGAAAAAUAAUGGCACAGGUAUAGGCGAAAGCAUCCCCUUAUGUGAUAACUGACGUUGAGGGACGAAGGCUUUGUGUAGCGAACAGGAUUAGAUACCCCAGUAGUCAAAGCAGAAAAUGAUGAAUGUCAUAGAUUAGAUAUAUAAGUUUAUUCUAUAAAUGAAAGUGUAAGCAUUCCACCUCAAGAGUAAUUUGGCAACAUUGGAACUGAAAUCAUUAGACCGUUUCUGAAACCAG
RNAcentral lists this ribosomal RNA (549 nucleotides) under Vulpicida pinastri. RNAcentral describes it as "SSU rRNA". It matches the Rfam family "Bacterial small subunit ribosomal RNA", at positions 356 to 929 of the family's 1533-position model. The record is from RNAcentral. Lineage: Eukaryota; Fungi; Ascomycota; Lecanoromycetes; Lecanorales; Parmeliaceae.